Molecule: ribosomal RNA, 305 nt
Filed under: uncultured bacterium
Lineage: Bacteria
Description: bacterial SSU rRNA
Rfam family: Bacterial small subunit ribosomal RNA
Source: RNAcentral
CUAGUCCUACGGGGGGCAGCAGUGGGGAAUAUUGCACAAUGGGGGAAACCCUGAUGCAGCGACGCCGCGUGAGUGAAGGAGCGUUUCGGCGCGUAAAGCUCUGUCAGCGGGGAAGAAACACGGUUCGCGAGAGCCGCGGACGGUACCCGACCAAGAAGCCCCGGCUAACUACGUGCCAGCAGCCGCGGUAAUACGUAGGGGGCAAGCGUUAUCCGGAUUUACUGGGUGUAAAGGGAGCGUAGACGGCAUGGCAAGUCUGAAGUGAAAGCCCGGGGCUCAACCGCGGGACUGCUCUGGAAACUGUU